GAAAUUUAUUUCGCAAACGGAUGAUAGGCUAAAUGCAGUUUAGGGCUUUGCUGCAGCCACUGAAAAGAGGAUUUUAGGUUGCCCAUUGUUGCUGACAUUACUAUUAGAUUCAACAAGCGGUUGACAAUUUAGGCGGCUGCUAAGUUCAUAUGCUACUUGAGUUUGAUGGAGACUGAAGAAUCCAACAGAUGUGCUACCCCCUGCCAAACUUUGAUAACUCAAGAUGAAGCUUUGGAUAAAUCUUUUCCACCACAUUGGUCUACUCCCAUACAGGUCUAACCAGUAUACUAGUUGAAUCAAGAUAU
This is a long non-coding RNA of Neltuma alba, 305 nucleotides long. RefSeq lists it as uncharacterized. The record is from RefSeq and is a predicted model, not a curated record. Lineage: Eukaryota; Viridiplantae; Streptophyta; Magnoliopsida; Fabales; Fabaceae. The transcript is spliced from 3 exons.